Molecule: ribosomal RNA, 207 nt
Filed under: uncultured bacterium
Lineage: Bacteria
Description: partial 16S ribosomal RNA
Rfam family: Bacterial small subunit ribosomal RNA
Source: RNAcentral
CGCGUAGGUGGUUCGUUAAGUUGGAUGUGAAAUCCCCGGGCUCAACCUGGGAACUGCAUUCAAAACUGACGAGCUAGAGUAUGGUAGAGGGUGGUGGAAUUUCCUGUGUAGCGGUGAAAUGCGUAGAUAUAGGAAGGAACACCAGUGGCGAAGGCGACCACCUGGACUGAUACUGACACUGAGGUGCGAAAGCGUGGGGAGCAAACG